GUGGGGUCACUUUAGGGUUGCUCAAAACUCAUUUGGAAAGUUAUCCUAUUUCUGAAUGUUUAAACAACUCAAACUAUCAUAUUUAAGUGCAUUUAACUACAUGCAUUUAUUUGAGCAAGGUAAAACAUGUAGCAACCAGAAGCUAGUAUUUUUCCAAGUUAAACAAAGGCAUCAAGAACCUAACAAAAGUGAUUUUGCAUUUUUAUCUAUUUUCUUCCAUUUAUAGAGCAAAUAACAAGAUCACACCUAGCAUUACAAGGUUUGCCUUAAACCAGUGUGUUCAGCACCUAAACUAGUGUCACAAAAUUCAUAUCUAGAACAAGCAUGACACAAGUGCUCUAACAGAGGUGGAUGUACAUUUUUACCAUUUUUGUAUGAUUUAUGGGGCAUUUAUGUGCUUAAACCAAAAAUAAAAACCUAAGGGAAAAACACAAUAGUAACAUGUCCAAAACCAUUUUUCUGUAAAACUACUCACAUUUUUAGCAUUUUUCUACACUUUCUUAUGCAUUUUCAAAGUUUCAGCCGAUUUAAACCAAAAUAAAAUAGAAAAGAGAAAACACGUUUCACAAGAGGGUCC
RNAcentral lists this long non-coding RNA (577 nucleotides) under Setaria viridis. RNAcentral's name for it is "long non-coding RNA (SVIR_LNC000715)". Lineage: Eukaryota; Viridiplantae; Streptophyta; Magnoliopsida; Poales; Poaceae. The record is from RNAcentral.